AGCAGAUCAGUUAAAGGUGGAAACUCAAGAAAUUAUUUUGAUGAAAUUCAUCCAAGAAGUUCUGGAAUCAAUUACAGGUGCUCAACCUGGAUUUGGGCCGUUAACCCUGCAUCCUGAAAAACGAAAGGAGAAGGAGAAGAAAAAAUGUGCUAAAAGGAAAGU
Long non-coding RNA from Eurytemora carolleeae, 162 nucleotides. RefSeq lists it as uncharacterized. NCBI's taxonomy places the organism in Eukaryota, Metazoa, Arthropoda, Copepoda, Calanoida, Temoridae. The record is from RefSeq and is a predicted model, not a curated record. The transcript is spliced from 3 exons.